CCUUGCUGGCACCCGAGCAGCUGCAGCGAGAUGGCACGUGUGCAGCUGACUGGAAUUCAGUGAGCAAUUUUGUUGAUGCAUACGGAGAGGAAGUUCCAGCUGAGGGCUGGCUCUGGAGGACUAACAGGAUUAAAAAGCAGCAGAACUAUUCUUCUGCCUCCGCUGUUGGACUCACAAGGCAGGGCUGGAGGGAAUCCAUCACGUUACUGAGCCCGGGGACCUGCUGUGGGCAAUUGGAGCAGGUCAUUCUUACAGGCAAUGGAACGCACGCUUCUGGAACACAGCCUCCACUGUAUACGUGGUGCAGUACCAAAAUGUAACCUGGAUCUAGAGGUCGAGCUUUCGGAGGAUCCUCACAAGGCGAUGGCUCCAGGCACCAGGUUUGAUCAGCAGCACCGUGCAAAGGAUCUGGGCUCCUGCAACAAAGCACACCAGUGAAAGAAACCCAAAGCUGCUCUUAAAAACAGAAGCAGAACAUACAGCUCUGAGUACUAGCCAGGACAGGUGUCUAUACAAGAGGGCUGUCUAAAAACUGGCAUGGAGUUCAUAGGAAUUCCAAUUAAACAAGUUUGUAA
Long non-coding RNA from Numida meleagris (helmeted guineafowl), 575 nucleotides. RefSeq lists it as uncharacterized. Lineage: Eukaryota; Metazoa; Chordata; Aves; Galliformes; Numididae. The transcript is spliced from 3 exons. The record is from RefSeq and is a predicted model, not a curated record.